This 483-nucleotide ribosomal RNA is filed under the name uncultured bacterium. Its description in RNAcentral is "partial 16S ribosomal RNA". It matches the Rfam family "Bacterial small subunit ribosomal RNA", at positions 28 to 507 of the family's 1533-position model. The record is from RNAcentral.
GACGAACGCUGGCGGCGUGCUUAACACAUGCAAGUCGAACGCUGAAGCUCAGCUUUUGUUGGGUGGAUGAGUGGCGAACGGGUGAGUAACACGUGAGUAACCUGCCUCCUUCUUUGGGAUAACGCCCGGAAACGGGUGCUAAUGCUGGAUAUUCACUGGUCUUCGCAUGGGGGUUGGUGGAAAGGGUUUUUCUGGUGGGGGAUGGGCUCGCGGCCUAUCAGCUUGUUGGUGGGGUGAUGGCCUACCAAGGCUUUGACGGGUAGCCGGCCUGAGAGGGUGACCGGUCACAUUGGGACUGAGAUACGGCCCAGACUCCUACGGGAGGCAGCAGUGGGGAAUAUUGCACAAUGGGCGCAAGCCUGAUGCAGCGACGCCGCGUGAGGGAUGGAGGCCUUCGGGUUGUGAACCUCUUUCGCUCAUGGUCAAGCCGCAACAAUGGUUGUGGUGAGGGUAGUGGGUAAAGAAGCGCCGGCUAACUACGUG